ACUAGGAAUUUUGCGCAAUGGGGGCAACCCUGACGCAGCGACACAGCGUGGAGGAGGAAGGUCUUCGGAUUGUAAACUCCUUUUAUAUGGGAAGAAUAGAUGACUGUACCAUAUGAAUAAGCACCUGCUAACUACGUGCCAGAAGCAUCGGUGAUGCGUAGGGUGCGAACGUUAUCCGGAUUUAUUGGGCGUAAAGAGAUGCGUAGGCGUUUCAGUUAGUCUUUCGUUAAAAGUCACGGCUUAACCGUGAAGAUGCGUUGGAUACUGCUGAAAUUGAGACAUGAAGGGGUGAACGGAACUCCAAGUGGAGCGGUGAAAUGAGUUGAUAGUUGGAAGAACAUCAGAGGCGAAGGCGGUUCACUGGUCAUUGUCUGACGCUAAGGCUCGAAAGCGUGGGUAGCAAAACGGAUUAGAAACCCCGGUAGUCC
Molecule: ribosomal RNA, 428 nt
Filed under: uncultured bacterium
Lineage: Bacteria
Description: partial 16S ribosomal RNA
Rfam family: Bacterial small subunit ribosomal RNA
Source: RNAcentral